GUUGCCCUCAUCAGCAAUGUCUGCGCUUUCCUUAGGCUGGGUUCGGAAGGAGCCUUGCCCUUCGUUGAAAUGGCUGCCCCGCCUCAUUGAUGUUGCAUGACUGAAGCUAAAUCGGUACCCUUUGUAAAGAUGGCAUGUGCCCAUUGGCACGACUUGCAGGGGAGAUUAUUAUAUCAGGUGCAGAAGAACUGAAACAACUUGUGUUCCUGAAAGUGAACCAAUAGUACUUGAGUCAAGCAGAUGAUCCUCUUCAGCUGGCAACGGCCAGACAAUGAGUCCCGCUGCUGGAGCAAAGGACAUUGAAUUCAGUGGCAGUUUCCAAAGUAAACGUGUCUAGGAUUGAAUCCUUGCAUCUCUGCUACUCA
Long non-coding RNA from Sphaerodactylus townsendi, 365 nucleotides. RefSeq lists it as uncharacterized. The record is from RefSeq and is a predicted model, not a curated record. NCBI's taxonomy places the organism in Eukaryota, Metazoa, Chordata, Lepidosauria, Squamata, Sphaerodactylidae. The transcript is spliced from 3 exons.